GCAAACUUGGUCAUUUAGAGGAAGUAAAAGUCGUAACAAGGUUUCCGUAGGUGAACCUGCGGAAGGAUCAUUAUUGAAUAAACUUUUGGUUGGAUUGCUGCUGGCUUUUUUAUAAAGUAUGUGCACAUCCUUUCCAAAAUUUUUUUCUAAACUCCCCCCACAUGUGCAUCUUUGUAAAUCUGAAACACUGUAUUCUAAUAGAAUACAUUUGAGAAUUGCUUUAUUAUUGCAACUAGGCUUUUCUUGUAUUGAUGAUUUAUGUUUAUUUAUUAACAAUAUAUGUAUUAAAGUAAUGUUUAUUCAGGCUAUUGUGCCUUAUAAAUAAAGUUACAACUUUCAACAAUGGAUCUCUUGGCUCUUGCAUCGAUGAAGAACGCAGC
This 380-nucleotide unclassified non-coding RNA is filed under the name uncultured fungus. RNAcentral describes it as "partial contains small subunit ribosomal RNA, internal transcribed spacer 1, and 5.8S ribosomal RNA". The stretch from base 1 to 73 matches the Rfam family "Eukaryotic small subunit ribosomal RNA", at positions 1759 to 1831 of the family's 1831-position model. The record is from RNAcentral. Lineage: Eukaryota; Fungi.